CAUGAGAUUUUGUUGAAUCUCAUGAAAUAUUGAUAAAAAUAUAUAGAUAUUUGUUUUACUAGCAUGUUUUCCAAAAAUACUACUUGAAUUUUUCAUACAGAUUUGGAUCUAAGAAACCGGUUUAUGAGUCACAUGAUUUGUGUGGUAAUUGUAGAACAUGAUGAUGGGUUACGAAAAAUAUCGAAAGAGAAAUAAGAGGAUAUGGAAGUGAAAGAGAUAUGCAAGAGUAGAAAGAAACAUGUGGCUCUUGAAAUCAAUAAAGGUGGAAGAAAUUGAGAAUUCUAAAUGACCAAAAGGGUUAGUGACUUUUUCUAUAGAGCUCUAUCCCAAUGUUGGAGGAAACAAGAAUCGUAGUGGCGGUGGAGUUGAAGAUGGUGUUGAUGAUGAUGGUACCAUGGUGGAAAGAUUAAGUUUGAGGUUUAACAAUGGUGGAGAGAGAAGGAUAAACAAAAGAGAGAAAGAAUGAAUGAAGGUUAUAUAUGUCAUUUUUAUGUAGUUCAUAGUUAGUUUCUUAAUCUUUUCAAGUAAAAUGUUAGUUUAUGUAUAUAUACUCUACUUUUUCUUUUGUAUAAUAUACCUUGGGACAAUUUUUAUAACUUAAGAAAUUAAAAUUUUAAGUUAUAUUUAUUUUGUUAAU
RNAcentral lists this small RNA (637 nucleotides) under Arabidopsis thaliana (thale cress). RNAcentral describes it as "ATSL043680". The record is from RNAcentral. Lineage: Eukaryota; Viridiplantae; Streptophyta; Magnoliopsida; Brassicales; Brassicaceae.